This is a long non-coding RNA of Siniperca chuatsi (mandarin fish), 522 nucleotides long. RefSeq lists it as uncharacterized. The record is from RefSeq and is a predicted model, not a curated record. The transcript has 2 exons. NCBI's taxonomy places the organism in Eukaryota, Metazoa, Chordata, Actinopteri, Centrarchiformes, Sinipercidae.
GCCGCGUGGAUCUGGACAGGCAGACAGGUCUGUGAGGCGAGGAACAGGUGGUGCAGUGUAGACCUGGACUGGCCGCGAUGUGGAGUUGGCGGUGAGGUGUGGAGACUGACCGUCAGCGGAACCAGUAGCCUGGAGCAGGGCUGCACAAUGAAACGAAGGAUGAGGUGGAGGAGUCUCACAGUCUGUGAGGAAAGAAGCUGGUCGUACGGCAGCAGAUACUUCUGUGUCUCUUGCCAGGUGGCAGCAGGGUGAAAAGGCUGUGGCUGUGGUGAGUAUUGUCUUUUAGUAUCCUUAGAGCUCUGCGCAGACACCUCACCUCUCUGAUAUCACUGAUGCUUGGUCGAUGGGUACCAUUGAUGUUCUGGGCGGUUUUAAUCACCCGCUGCAGAGCCAAGUCAACUUGUGACCAAACCUCUCAUUUUCACACUACAUCCCUAGCACCAGAUAGCUGACAAAACUAGCAACAUAGUGGAGUAUUUAGCAGCUAAAGAGCCAGAUAUUAUUUUCAGGAGUUGGGGGAGA